This 85-nucleotide transfer RNA is filed under the name Merluccius polli (Benguela hake). Its description in RNAcentral is "tRNA-Leu". It matches the Rfam family "tRNA". Rfam says of the family: Transfer RNA (tRNA) molecules are approximately 80 nucleotides in length. Lineage: Eukaryota; Metazoa; Chordata; Actinopteri; Gadiformes; Merlucciidae. The record is from RNAcentral.
UUCAGGAUAGCCGCGUGGUCUAAGGCGCCAGACUCAAGUUCUGGUCUCCAAGUGGAGGCGUGGGUUCAAAUCCCACUCCUGACAA